CAAGGGAGAAGGAGCCCUCCUGAAGCAUGUGACGGGAAGAAGCCUGACUAAGGUCUACUAAGCUUUAUUACAGUGCUCUUAGCUGUUUCCUUUUAUCAAAAUUCACCUCUGGUGCAAACACAGACUCCUGUGACAAGCUUCAGACAUGCAGCAGGUCUGCAUGCCCACACAAAGAGGAGCAGUACUAUCCCUGGAUGACGGUGUGGAGAAAACUGGAUGCUUGCUUUCUGUCUUUGUUAAAUCCCAAUGGAAGACUGCAAAGUACCCUAUAAUUUCAUUGACAUCAGUGGGAUCUAAAAACACUUUGUUAAGGCAAGCAGCAUUCUCACCUUCAAGGGGUCCCGCUUGAGGCACCAAGAUGCAUGUAGCCAGGAAUACAACUGGGCAGCAUGAAGAGCAGCUCCCUGCAGGCAAGCUGACUGACUCUUCAAUAGAAGUAGGAGUGGCAUUGUGAAUUUGCCUUUUUUGGAAUGAAAGGAGGAUGUGAAUCUGCAGACUUCAGCCAUCCAUGAUGGGAUGCAUCUGUUUUCUCUAAUGAAAAACACUUUUCACCUCAGAAGGAAAAAAAAAAAGAAGAAAAAGUGGAUCUGAGUUCCUCUAGGGGGAAGGCAUAGAAUCAGGAUCAAAAGAAACUGGCAUAACAUGUUAGCAAAACUGCUGGGAUGUUUGUAAAAAUCCCAUGGAGACUUUCUAUUUUUAUUUACAAAUGAAAAAUGCUUUGCACAGACAACUAAGGGCCUUGCUACAUGGUAAUUUUGGGCGGCUCCUGGAGCUCUUAACACCUGGAUCGGCUGCACAUUAGCACCUGAAAUUAGUUUUAACCACUCAUUAGAUAGUUCAAAGUUAUGGUACUCCAGGGCAGGAUUAUCUCUGAUCCAUGUUACCCAGCUCCUGUUAAACUAAGGUGUAGCUGUCACUCUAGGCUACACCUUAGUGUAAGCAGACCCACCCAUGCACCUUCUCCCCUGCUGACCAAAUCAGUCCCUCCACAGCACCCCAGAUCUUCCUUUGUGCCUUCUUCCUUUGUUGCUUUUGUUGCCUUUUUCCUUUUUUGUUGCCUGAAGGUACACCCUGGCCCAAGAACAUCACAGGUCUAUGAUUUCCUAAAUGUUUUCUUUGUUCUAUAUAGAUACAUAACAAGAUUUACAGAGAAUAAAGCUUGGU
Alligator mississippiensis (American alligator) is the source of this 1164-nucleotide long non-coding RNA. RefSeq lists it as uncharacterized. The transcript has 5 exons. NCBI's taxonomy places the organism in Eukaryota, Metazoa, Chordata, Crocodylia, Alligatoridae. The record is from RefSeq and is a predicted model, not a curated record.